Molecule: ribosomal RNA, 234 nt
Filed under: uncultured bacterium
Lineage: Bacteria
Description: partial 16S ribosomal RNA
Rfam family: Bacterial small subunit ribosomal RNA
Source: RNAcentral
GGCGGACGGGUGAGUAACGCGUGGGAAUCUGCCUACUAGCGGGGGAUAGCCCGGAGAAAUCCGGAUUAAUACCGCAUACGCCCUAAGGGGGAAAGCUGGGGAUCUUCGGACCUGGCACUAGUAGAUGAGCCCGCGUUGGAUUAGCUUGUUGGUGGGGUAAUGGCCUACCAAGGCAACGAUCCAUAGCUGUUCUGAGAGGAAGAUCAGCCACACUGGGACUGAGACACGGCCCAG